RNAcentral lists this ribosomal RNA (199 nucleotides) under Nanobdellota archaeon. RNAcentral describes it as "partial 16S ribosomal RNA". It matches the Rfam family "Archaeal small subunit ribosomal RNA", at positions 1270 to 1478 of the family's 1478-position model. Lineage: Archaea; Nanobdellati; Nanobdellota. The record is from RNAcentral.
AACCUCAUGACGCCGGAAUCCGGAGUAAUCGUUUAUUAGCAGUGAACGGUGAAUAUGUCCCUGUCUCUUGCACACACUGCCCGUCAAACCAACCGAGUUUAUUUAUGAUGAAACGUUUCGAUGGAGAAUCUUAGGUAGACAAGGUAGGUUAAGUCGUCACAAGGUAUCUGUAGGGGAACCUGCAGAUGGAUCACCUCCU